GAUGAACGCUGGCGGCGUGCUUAACACAUGCAAGUCGAGCGAAGCACUUAUGAUGAUCCUUCGGGUGAUUCAUUUGUGACUGAGCGGCGGACGGGUGAGUAACGCGUGAGUAACCUGCCUCAUACAGGGGAAUAACAGUUAGAAAUGACUGCUAAUGCCGCAUAAGCGCACAGGGCCGCAUGGCCCGGUGUGAAAAACUCCGGUGGUAUGAGAUGGACUCGCGUCUGAUUAGCUAGUUGGUGAGGUAACGGCCCACCAAGGCGACGAUCAGUAGCCGGCCUGAGAGGGUGAACGGCCACAUUGGGACUGAGACACGGCCCAAACUCCUACGGGAGGCAGCAGUGGGGAAUAUUGCACAAUGGGGGAAACCCUGAUGCAGCGACGCCGCGUGAGUGAAGAAGUAUUUCGGUAUGUAAAGCUCUAUCAGCAGGGAAGAAA
RNAcentral lists this ribosomal RNA (438 nucleotides) under uncultured bacterium. RNAcentral's name for it is "bacterial SSU rRNA". It matches the Rfam family "Bacterial small subunit ribosomal RNA", at positions 28 to 450 of the family's 1533-position model. The record is from RNAcentral.